RNAcentral lists this non-coding RNA (46 nucleotides) under Trichobilharzia regenti. Lineage: Eukaryota; Metazoa; Platyhelminthes; Trematoda; Strigeidida; Schistosomatidae. The record is from RNAcentral.
AUACUAAUGAAGAGUCCCAAACUAGGACGAAACAGUUGUCCAGUAC